AACGAACGCUGGCGGCAUGCCUAACACAUGCAAGUCGAACGAGACCUUCGGGUCUAGUGGCGCACGGGUGCGUAACGCGUGGGAACCUGCCCUUAGGUUCGGAAUAACUCCCCGAAAGGGGUGCUAAUACCGGAUAAUGUCUUCGGACCAAAGAUUUAUCGCCUUUGGAUGGGCCCGCGUUGGAUUAGCUAGUUGGUAGGGUAAAAGCCUACCAAGGCGACGAUCCAUAGCUGGUCUGAGAGGAUGAUCAGCCACACUGGGACUGAGACACGGCCCAGACUCCUACGGGAGGCAGCAGUGGGGAAAAUUGGACAAUGGGCGAAAGCCUGAUCCAGCAAGGCCGCGGGAGUGAUGAAGGCCUUAGGGUUGUAAAGCUCUUUUACCCGGGAUGAUAAUGACAGUACCGGGAGAAGAAGCUCCGGCUAACUCCGU
RNAcentral lists this ribosomal RNA (432 nucleotides) under uncultured bacterium. Its description in RNAcentral is "partial 16S ribosomal RNA". It matches the Rfam family "Bacterial small subunit ribosomal RNA", at positions 29 to 506 of the family's 1533-position model. The record is from RNAcentral.